AUUGAACGCUGGCGGCAGGCCUAACACAUGCAAGUCGAGCGGAUGAAGGGAGCUUGCUCCUGGAUUCAGCGGCGGACGGGUGAGUAAUGCCUAGGAAUCUGCCUGGUAGUGGGGGAUAACGUCCGGAAACGGGCGCUAAUACCGCAUACGUCCUGAGGGAGAAAGUGGGGGAUCUUCGGACCUCACGCUAUCAGAUGAGCCUAGGUCGGAUUAGCUAGUUGGUGGGGUAAAGGCCUACCAAGGCGACGAUCCGUAACUGGUCUGAGAGGAUGAUCAGUCAAACGGGAACUGAGACACGGUCCAGAUCCCUACGGGAGGCAGCAGUGGGAAUAUUGGACAAUGGGCGAAAGCCUGAUCCAGCCAUGCCGCGUGUGUGAAGAAGGUCUUCGGAUUGUAAAGCACUUUAAGUUGGGAGGAAGGGCAGUAAGUUAAUACCUUGCUGUUUUGACGUUACCAACAGAAUAAGCACCGGCUAACUUCGUG
RNAcentral lists this ribosomal RNA (483 nucleotides) under uncultured bacterium. RNAcentral's name for it is "partial 16S ribosomal RNA". It matches the Rfam family "Bacterial small subunit ribosomal RNA", at positions 30 to 507 of the family's 1533-position model. The record is from RNAcentral.